RNAcentral lists this small RNA (819 nucleotides) under Pan troglodytes (chimpanzee). RNAcentral describes it as "retained intron". Lineage: Eukaryota; Metazoa; Chordata; Mammalia; Primates; Hominidae. The record is from RNAcentral.
CGGGCGGAACGGUGUCUCCUUCACUUCGCCCUCCAGCUGCUGCAGCUGCAGCCCGACCGCGAGCGUGCCAAGCGGCUUCAGCAGCUAGCGGAGCGGUGGCGGCGGCCCCCCUCAGGACACCACCAGAUUCCCCUUUUCCCGCGGCCUCGCCAUGGCGACCCACGGACAGACUUGCGCGCGUCCAAUGUGUAUUCCUCCAUCAUAUGCUGACCUUGGCAAAGCUGCCAGAGAUAUUUUCAACAAAGGAUUUGGUUUUGGGUUGGUGAAACUGGAUGUGAAAACAAAGUCUUGCAGUGGCGUGAUAUCACAAUUUCUGGCUGUAGUCUCUUUAUUAUUUUCACAUCAGCUGUCUUCCUUAGGCUUGGCGUGGUGAUGCUUGUGAUCCCAGCUACUCAGGAGGCUGAGGAAUUUUCAACGUCCGGUUCAUCUAAUACAGACACUGGUAAAGUUACUGGGACCUUGGAGACCAAAUACAAGUGGUGUGAGUAUGGUCUGACUUUCACAGAAAAGUGGAACACUGAUAACACUCUGGGAACAGAAAUCGCAAUUGAAGACCAGGUAACAUUUUGAAAAUUUUAGUAUUAAUUUUAUUAAUUUAUUUUUGUAUUUCAAAAAAAGAAAACAAAUUACUUUUCUUUCAAAAUAGAUUUGUCAAGGUUUGAAACUGACAUUUGAUACUACCUUCUCACCAAACACAGGAAAGAAAAGUGGUAAAAUCAAGUCUUCUUACAAGAGGGAGUGUAUAAACCUUGGUUGUGAUGUUGACUUUGAUUUUGCUGGACCUGCAAUCCAUGGUUCAGCUGUCUUUGGUUAUGAGGG